RNAcentral lists this ribosomal RNA (207 nucleotides) under Cryptosporidium meleagridis. Its description in RNAcentral is "partial 18S ribosomal RNA". It matches the Rfam family "Eukaryotic small subunit ribosomal RNA", at positions 356 to 564 of the family's 1831-position model. Lineage: Eukaryota; Apicomplexa; Conoidasida; Eucoccidiorida; Cryptosporidiidae. The record is from RNAcentral.
UGGGUGUGAGGGCAUUAGGGUUCGAUUCCGGAGAGGGAGCCUGAGAAACGGCUACCACAUCUAAGGAAGGCAGCAGGCGCGCAAAUUACCCAAUCCUAAUACAGGGAGGUAGUGACAAGAAAUAACAAUACAGGACUUUUUGGUUUUGUAAUUGGAAUGAGUUAUGUAUAAACCCCUUUACAAGUAUCAAUUGGAGGGCAAGUCUGA